This is a long non-coding RNA of Rattus norvegicus (Norway rat), 6830 nucleotides long. RefSeq lists it as uncharacterized. NCBI's taxonomy places the organism in Eukaryota, Metazoa, Chordata, Mammalia, Rodentia, Muridae. The record is from RefSeq and is a predicted model, not a curated record.
AGGACUAUAGCACAUGCAACUGGGCCUAUCUGCUCCCCCCUCCAGGUUCCUGCCUUGCUUGAAAUCCUAACCUGACUUCCUUUGAUGUGGAAGCUUAAGUCAAAUAAACCCUUUCCUGCCCAAGUUGCUUUGGUCUUGGUGGUUAAUAACUGCAAUAGUAACCCACCUACAGAAGGGCUGACAACCAAUCAUGCGCGAGAACGCUAAUGAAAUUGCGCACCAACGGCCAGAAGAGGGCAUGCGCUCGCGUUUCAAACGGAAGCUCUAAAUUGAGGCUCAAAAUGCCCUGGGAUGGAGUAGGUCACCCUACUCUGAUUCUUGGUGAGAAGCAGGGAAAUCCAGCGACUUUUCCUGAAGGUCAGAGAGACUACGGUCUCAUAGGGGGAAAGUGCGUGAAGACUUGUCUCCAAAACAAUUUUCGGUUUGUGGCCAUCUGACUUCUCUCCGAUGCCCAGAUGAUGCAGACAGCCCCACCUCAGCCAGUCCUUCCUUUUCCAGGCUCCUGUGGGCCUUCAACAGUCGGGGCGAUCCGUUGGGUCGGUCGUCGCCACUUCGGAGGAAUCAUCUCAUAACUGGGGCCUGCCUGUGUUUUGUGAGCUCUGUCCACAGAGAGUGCUGCCAUGCUUCUGCCAAGCAGGAGAAGCGUCCGGGGGUCUCCGGAACCCUUAAGGAAAGCCGUCUGCACAGAAGAUAAGCAUUUUCUGUGAGUCGUGAGUACUGGAGGUGAGGAAGCCCUGAGCCACACACACGCCAAAAGAGAGGUGCCCUGGUGCAGGCACCAUCUUCAUGCCCGACGAGAAGAGACACGCCCACCAGAGCCAAGAGAGAGAGCCAUUACACUCUGUCCUUGAAGGGACAGCCAGGUGACAGCUCCCUAAACCACACCCACCCUCUGCCUCCUUCACUCAAGGUGCUUUGUCUGACUGAAGCUGUGUGCGCAGUGAAGGCCGGCCGAUGCUUUAGGUCCGCAGGAAUGUGAUGGUCCAGCUACCGUGGAUAACCUACCGAAGGUGCUUCCCUUGGCCAUGGCCUCAGCGGGAAGGCCUCACACCACAUAAACUGCUAUACUGUAGGUAUGCCAGACCCUUGGCACCCAGUGUGUUCCCGGACCUGUGCCCUUCAGCCCAGGACCCUGUGCUCGCUGGCUACUUGUUCACAUGACACUGGAAACCUGUGCCCUUUCAAGAUGCCCCCUCUGUUGCUGUGAGUCGGUGGGGGCACGGGUCCCCCUCAGAGGUCUAGUACUGUAUCUACCCGGGAAGGGAGUCUCCACAGCCGUGUCUAGAAGGGUACCUGCAUACCACGUGUGACUGUGUUGAGAGUCCUUGCUCACGGCUAUGAUGUCAUUACUCCUCCUCCUCCUCCUCCCUCUCCUCGUCCUCCUCCUGGUUCGUGGUUGACAUCCUUGCUGUCUUCCCAUGACCACGACUUAGCCCUCCUGUUGGAAAGGCAAGAAGAGCAAAGGCUCCCUGGCGGCCCUGUCUUUUGUUGUUGUUCUCAUCAGUGCCUGGCUGGCUGACUUUACCUGAGAUCUACUUCUGUGGUCCUCUCACCCCUGCCCCGGAGAGGCCCUAUGUUCUCUGGGGUCUGGAGAGGGUUUGCUUGCCUGUGCUGAUGAGUCAGAGCCAGGCCUCCCUGUGGCCUUCCCACCAUACACCACAGAGCCAGAAUCCUCCUCUCUCCUGUCCUGGUGGACACCAGGCACAGGGAGAGCUGAGGCCUGAAGGAUACUGUGGAGUCAGUUGUGCCCUAGGCAGGAUGGCCAAAGGCUACUGGACAGUGGGGAUCGGGGCCUGCCACCAAUGGCCCUUUUGGCCCUGCCUCAGUGGGGGUGCUAUUUAAGUUUAGGUUCAAAAUGUCACCUCAUGCUCAAAAGCUCCUCCCAUUGCAGGGCUUAAGGAGCUGUGUGUCUUCCCCCACCUGGAAGGUAUGGGAAGUUCCUAAGAGAGCAGCCCGCCCUGGUGGCUCCUGUGCCUGACUCACCCGCUCACUGCUUUCUGGGACCCGAUGUUCUGAGGAAGCAGGUGUCUUCUGCUUUGUCUAGGUCGUAGUCUCUGGUCUUUGGUUCAUUGUCCUGUGAUACAAUUUCCAUGGGCCGUUUAGUAAUUAUUUUGCUCUUCUUUGAGAUAGCACGAAACGUGGAAGCAUAUUAAUAAUUGGACCUCUGAGCAGGUGCAAUGAAAGAUCCUAGAAAUGGGUGUGUGUGGAAGGCCGGGAAGCCUCAGUCCCCAUCCCCGUCGGGUGGCAGUGGGCAGGCCAGGUCCCUGGGAAGCUGUGGUGGAGGCCUUGCAGGCUGUGACCUGCCGCAGGUUCUGGAGCAGCUGAGCCCGGGUCUCCCGGCAGACGGGGGCCUGUAGCCGGCUCGAGGACGGUAAAUGACCAGGGGAACUGGCCUGUCCAGGUCCACUGAAGGUCCUCCAAAGCCUUGCCGGGGUGAGGGUCGCUGUGAUGUGGCAUGCUGCUGCCACACAGCCUGCCUUCAGAGGCACCAGGGAGCAAGACGCUGUCGGGAUGGUAAAGGAGGGCAUCUCUGCAGGCAAACAGGGACUCCAACUGCUGACCUCAGGUUCUGACUCCCUUAGCCUUGCUGGCAGGGACACAUCUGACUGCCCACUCUGUGGGCAGCCACAGAAACAUCUGGCUGGGCUCCUUUUGUCCCCGCCUCUCCCCCACCCCACCCCACCCCCCACACACACCCACUUCCCACAGGAGUGUGAAGAGCUUGACACACCUCUGUCUAUUCGGUUUCUAAUCCAAUGCCCUUCCUGGUUUCCUUUGAUGGAGGCAUAGGUAAACCUGGGCUGUUUUCCCAGUCAACUUUGAUGGCUAACGUGGGCAAGGAGACUCAGCACAGACAAGAGAACCUGGCGGCAGGGAUGGCGGUGCCUCCCACACAUUGCCUUUGCCCCGAUUGCCUUGGCAUCUUGGCAUUUAUGACCUUGGUAUGACCUUCAUCUUGCUGGUGACAGCACUGGUCCUUGGGGACUCCUGGACUUUCAGAAAGUGACUUCAUCCCCUCACUGAGGGCUGGGGAUUGGUGUGGGUGUGGUGGAGUAGCAGACAUACCCAUCCCAUCCUGUGUGCUCAGGGGAACUUGGUUUAUGGUCCCUGCCUGGGCCUUGUGUCUAUCCUUGGGCAGCUGUGUUCCUUGCAUUGGCCACAGCAAAGCCCUGUCUGUGGUUCUCAGAAGUUGUGAUGUGCUCAGUGACCGGCUGGCACUCCUGAGUCACAUCGCUCCUCCAUAGACAGAGCUCUGGUCCAGGGUCACCACCGUGCACUGUGUGGCCUGGACCUCCUGCCACCCUUCCUCAUUGUCAGUGGUGAAGCUGCUGGAGGAAAGGCCACACUGGGUUCACCCCCAGGGGUCCUCUGCUCUGCCUUGGCAGGGUGCCUCAUUCCCUCCUGGUCUCUAUGAAGUCCCCUGUGGUCCUCUCUGGGGUUGCUGAUCGAUUCUUCUUUUUUUUCACUCUUCUCCCACCUUGAGGGACUCGGGAGAGUCCCUGAGCACCGUGGAGCAUGCAAGCCCUUGCAUGGCCGAUUGUCCCCUUGACUCUCUGUCCCCUACGAUAGGUAAGGACUCCUGCCCUGUUGUAUCCUCAGAGUGGGUGCUGCCUGGUGAGAUUGUGUGUCCUGAUGACUGUUCAACACAAAGAUGAGUCCCUAAUAAAUGCACAGUUGUUGAUUGAAAAUAACUCUGGACGUGGGAAGUCCAAGGCCAAGGUCCCGACAGACGGAUCGCCUGGUGCAAGCCCAAAGCUCAUGAACAGCACCUUAGAGCUGAGGUCCACAGGCAGAGGCUUAAGAGAGCUCCCCUGGGCCCAGGUUCUUGAGGGCACUAGUCAUGUUCAUGGAGGAGUGUGUGUAAACGUGUUAUCAGUAUGUGUUUGUGAGUGUGUACACACACAGCCCUGUUCCUUCUCUCACGGUGGAAAUUAGGUUGUAACAUAUGAAUUUGGAGGGACACCAACUGUCCGUUCCCGGCAUGUCCUAAAGAAUGUGGAAUAUACAGGAUGAAGAGGCUCCAGGUUGUGUCUGUGGCCUCUGGACGUUACGGGAACUGUCCCUCCCUGACCGGUGGGGUCCGGGCUUAUGUGGAUGGGUGACCCAGGACCUCGGGGGCUGGGCAAGGUGCUGUGGAGCAGCAGGGCAGCACUGAGAGCCACUUCCCUUGACUGAGUGGACAAGGGGCAGCCUCCCUUUCUGCCUCCUACAGCACACAGCUGCCAGCCCUGUCCCACCCCUCAGACCUUAGCUCUGCCCAUAACUGCUGCUCCAGUGACUUUCCAAAGAUGCUGUCAUUCCCUCUAGAUGAGAGCAGAUCAGAGUCACUCUCCUAACUGUCCUGGGCCCACACAUGUCCUGAUCCUUCUCCCUUCUCACUUCCAGGUGGCUGUCAUUGUCUUUUCCUAUGGGUUCUUGCCUUGUGCCAGGCUUCUCCUGGAUCUGGAGGUGGUCAGGGCCAGACAGGAAGAAGGAAAGGCGAGAUUGGUCAGCUCUUUAGACAGUGUUGAAAAUGUGCCUCCUGGAGACAGCUCUGGACAGCUCUUCACAGGAGGUCAGGCCAUGCCUCGGGGCUGAGGCAGGAGCAUGGCCUUCACCACCAGGCUUUGCCUCCCGAGGCCUCUGCACAUGUGAGUCUGGGCUGUGUGGUGCCCUGCUUGCCCCUCUAUCCUUCUACCUCACCACAUCUCUUUCUCUGAGGACAUUUGCUUGGUUUCUCUGAGUUCCAACAGUCCUUCAGACAGUUGGGGGAGGAAAGAAGAGGAGAGACUGUGUCCCUGUCUCCCUUGGCCUUUGCCUUGGCUCCUCUUGCUGUCUGGUUCUUGUUGUCAACCUGCUUGGCCAACUGGAGGCUACUGAAUUCUGUCACAUGUCAGGCCACAGAUGCCCUCUGCCCACCAAAUAAAAAAAGGAAGUGCUGGGGAGAUGGCUCAGUGGUUAACGCUGCUUGCUCCCUUCUCAGGGCCAGAUCUCAGGCCCCCCAACCCCCUGUGAUAUGCCCAGCAUUCCUGCCAACUUCCAACUCCUGGAAUCCCAAGUGUGGAGGGGUGGAGACAGGAGGAUAUCUGGGACUUGCCUGCUUUUAGCCUAGUAGAGAUGUGAACCCAGGGCUCAGGAAGAAACCCUGCUUUAAGGGACAAUGCAGAGUGACUGAGGAGGAUGGCUAGUUGCCGUCUUCAGGAUCUGUGAGGGACCGGGUGAGCCCAGGGUACAGAAAAGAGGUCUAACAGGGGAGAGGAGCACAGCCCAUGGCUCAGUAACCCCACAGGGAGACCUUCACCACCGCCCUCAUAUGACUUUGUGUUCUUGAGUGAGCAAGAAAAGCAUGCGUUCGUCUCCCUGGACGCUCAGUCACAGCUGAGAACUCCUAAAUUGACAGAUAGUGGCCUGUGAUUUGAAAGUCACUCUGUGCUGCUCCCUUUGCCCAGGAUAGCUUCACCAUCCCUCCACGGGACCACCAAGUCCUCAUGCCCAUUCUGAGGUGUGAAGGUUCCUACACACGCAUGUACUCUCCAGCAUCCUCACAGUUAAAGCUCUCUGUGCUCCCUGUAUGCUAAGUGCUCACUGACCUCCUGUCCCCUGGGAUAGUCCUCCCUGGAGUCCACCUGACCCCGGGUACCCUAGUAUCUAUCCAGAGUUUUUCAUCUUCCUAAAGUGCUAGUUUAAAUUACAUGUUUGCAAAAGUGAGCACACUGUCACACAUUCACAAUGUCUUAGAACUGGCAGGGCUGUCGUCCCACACUUAGACAGUGGAGUUGUCAUGUUCCUGUCAUGACCUUGUCCUCCACAGACUUAGAAGCCCCUAGAGCCUCCUGUAGUCAUUGGUACUGCUUUCUGUGGUGUACCUGUGUCCUGAGGCUCCCUCCAACCUUGUGGGCAGGACUGUGUAGUCUGUCCCAUUGUCCCCUUUUCUGGUGCAUUUGGUGCUUAUUGUUACUCUGGGUGGCAGUGGGCGCCCUUCCUAGUUUCAUAGGAGCGAACUAGAAAAUACGACUGUUGUGUUCUUAACCACACAUCUGGGCCAAAUGCUGAGCCUGGGUCCCUAGAGGAUGAGCAGUGAGAGUUCUCUCCUCCUCUGGAUAUAACCUGUUCCUGUGUCCUUGGGUCUCAACCUUCUCUUGAGGCUUUUAGCUUUAUAUUCCUUGGCUCAGUGGUUUUCCUGGUAGAAUGGGGCCUUGGCCAAAGCCAUAGCUGUCAAGUGUCAGAGUCAGUCUGAACCCAAGGUAGGGAUUGUUUUCUUGUCCACUUGGCCUAGGACAGGAAGAAAGGGAAGCCCGAAGUUUCCUCCCUUGGGCUCAGAUGAGGGUGUGGAUGCUUAUAGGGGAAGUUGAGCUGAACUCCAUUGGCAGCCUCAAGGGGAUCCAAGUGUAUGCUGAAUAUUGAGAUGUGCCUGUGUACCCUGUGCUCUGAGGUCCCUAGUGCCGCCUGCAGCUAGUCAUUGUGGCUGCUGUCUCUGGUGGCCCUCGUUUCUCUGGUGGCUACCACUGACCUCCUUAGCUUGAUUGUGUUGCCAGUGGUCCCAUGCCCUCCUGUGGUUGCCUUUGGUGUUUUCUGGCACUCUCAGAUGCCCUGGGAGUCCCACUUGCUAUGUCCAUGUCAGAUCCAUGUGACCAAGUCUUCCUGUGUUUGUGUUGUACAUCUUCCUAUACAUACAGCACGUUUAUUAGAUGGCAUAUAUGUUAAGAAGGUACACUGACGUCUUUGGUAGAAGGUCACAUGUAGUCCUGGCACUUGGCAGCUUGAACUGUCAAGGUUACCAUGAAUUUAAAUCCAACCUGUGGUACCAUUCAACGGUACUAAAAAUUUCAAUAAACAAUGAAAAACUCAAA